This 277-nucleotide ribosomal RNA is filed under the name uncultured prokaryote. RNAcentral describes it as "partial 16S ribosomal RNA". It matches the Rfam family "Bacterial small subunit ribosomal RNA", at positions 524 to 801 of the family's 1533-position model. The record is from RNAcentral.
UACGAAGGGGCUAGCGUUGUUCGGAAUUACUGGGCGUAAAGCGCACGUAGGCGGAUUGUUAAGUUAGGGGUGAAAUCCCGGGGCUCAACCUCGGAACUGCCUUUGAUACUGGCAAUCUUGAGUCCGGAAGAGGUGAGUGGAAUUCCUAGUGUAGAGGUGAAAUUCGUAGAUAUUAGGAGGAACACCAGUAGCGAAGGCGGCUCUCUGGACUGUAACUGACGCUGAGGCACGAAAGCGUGGGGAGCAAACAGGAUUAGAUACCCUGGUAGCCCCUGAG